CCCUUAGAUGUUCUGGGCUGCACGCGCGCUACACUGGUGCGUUCAGCGAGUUUAGCACCUUAACAGAUAUGUUUGGGUAAUCUUCUGAAAACGCACCGUGAUGGGGAUCGAUUAUUGUAAUUAUUAAUCGUCAACGAGGAAUUCCUAGUAAGUGUGAAUCAUCAGUUCGCGCUGAUUACGUCCCUGCCCUUUGUACACACCGCCCGUCGCUGCUACCGGUUGAGUGGUCCGGUGAAUUAUUCGGACCGGUGGACUGUGGGGUAACUCGCGGUCUGCUGGGAAGUCUUGUGAACCUCAUCACUUAGAGGAAGCAGAAGUCGUAACA
This 325-nucleotide ribosomal RNA is filed under the name uncultured eukaryote. Its description in RNAcentral is "partial 18S ribosomal RNA". It matches the Rfam family "Eukaryotic small subunit ribosomal RNA", at positions 1470 to 1796 of the family's 1831-position model. The record is from RNAcentral.